ACUUUCAUAUGCAGCCGGACAUGGUGUAUUUGUGUUUCUGAGGUUAUUGUACAAGACGAAUUGGGUGAGUGAUUUGAAGUUAAAAUUAGCUCAUUUUUGUCAACUUAUUUAUUUACUGGUAUAUUUAGGCUCGAAAUUAAUUUCUUCCCUUUUUUUUGUCUCCCUACAACUUUGUAUAAAACAGGUUCAUAUGACAUUAAUCCUACAAAUAAACCAUUUGGAUUAGAAGUCAUUUCCUUCAUGAAAAUUACCUUUCUUGACAUAGUAAUCAUUACUUUUUAUGAUGUCUGUAAAUCUAGAUUAAAAAUUCUCUAGGCUGGAAAUAAGAUUUAAUUUUAGAGCUAUUUUGUCCUUGAUUAUUGACACAGAAUCUUGUGGUGUUGAGCAAGGCAGAGGCUGUGUGCUGCAAUCUCUGUUGAGGAGGGAAACUCCCAGUGCUCUGCAUAGUGAACUGAUCACAUAGAAGUUUCUUUAGCAUGGGAAUGUGCUUCCAUGUUUCCCUGAAGAGCAAAGUACAGCGGUAGAAUGGCAGAUCCGUCCAGAAGUCAGUCCAAAAAGAUAGAUACCAUCAUGCUGACUGAUUCUUUUUCACAAUGCUGCUGUGAUGCCUCAGACACAAGCCCAAGCAUCUACCAAGCUGCUUCUUCCCUCCAAGUGACAAAAAGAAAAGAAAAGAAAAUGACAGGUACCAUCAGCCCACUUUUUACCCUGAUCUAUGCGGUCCUUAGCAACCAGAGUAUCUACACUGAGGCACGUUGCUGUGGUUGUCAUAACUUUGAAGAAAACAAAUCUUCAAAGAUCUUUUUUAUCUUUUCCAGGAAGAUAUGUCAAUCCUUUGAUGGUAAAAAGCAUUAAAACUCAAAAUUGAGAGGCAAAAUAUAUCAUAUCCCACUAAAAACUCCUUGAGCCAGAUAACUGCCAGCAUGUACAGUUAGAAGGGUAAUAAUAGCUAGUGACUGCUGUGUGGAAUGUGUUAAGACUUCUAAAUAUAUUAUUUCAUUUAAUUCUUGCAACUAUU
This 1018-nucleotide long non-coding RNA is filed under the name Homo sapiens (human). RNAcentral describes it as "non-protein coding lnc-SGK1-9:3". The record is from RNAcentral. Lineage: Eukaryota; Metazoa; Chordata; Mammalia; Primates; Hominidae.